UGUGUCUUCAACAAAUCAGAGCUCUAAUACUCCCUUCAUCCGAUCAGACUCGGAAGUAGAGGGCAUGUUUGGGGGGACAUUUUCUCUUUGGAGCCAAAGAUAUGGGCCAAUGGCUAGAUAUGGACUGAUGGAUACGGUAGUAUGAUCUGAUCUCAACUUUAGCUUGUGAUGAUCUUCGAAUCCUAGCAACUAUUCUGAGCAGAACUCCUA
RNAcentral lists this long non-coding RNA (210 nucleotides) under Elaeis guineensis (African oil palm). Its description in RNAcentral is "long non-coding RNA (EGUI_LNC012952)". Lineage: Eukaryota; Viridiplantae; Streptophyta; Magnoliopsida; Arecales; Arecaceae. The record is from RNAcentral.